RNAcentral lists this non-coding RNA (27 nucleotides) under Mus musculus (house mouse). The record is from RNAcentral. Lineage: Eukaryota; Metazoa; Chordata; Mammalia; Rodentia; Muridae.
UUCACAAGACAGGGCCUGCGGACAUUC